This is a long non-coding RNA of Mauremys mutica (yellowpond turtle), 2438 nucleotides long. RefSeq lists it as uncharacterized. The record is from RefSeq and is a predicted model, not a curated record. The transcript has 4 exons. NCBI's taxonomy places the organism in Eukaryota, Metazoa, Chordata, Testudines, Geoemydidae.
AGAGCUGCCCAGCUGAAGGACUGCCUCUCUGCUCUGCUGAUUCUGCAGCUGAAUGCUGCCACCUGGGUCCUAGUAUCAAUUGUGAUCCCCUUCUGUGUGCUGGGAGCCUUCCUGUUUUCUGUGCACAAGAUCAAGAACAGCUGGAAGAUCUCUGAGAGAUACCACCACAGCUACUUACCUGAGAAGUGAUCCUGAGCCUGAUCCAGUAGUCAUCAAAGGUCCAAGUCCCUCCUGCACCACUUGUCAUUCCCAAGCUCAUUGAAUGUCCACAUACAAAUCACAAUUGUCAUAAAGCUUUGACACUUUGGAGUUGCUGGUAGCAGGACUGGCGAGGAUCUGUGGUGGUGCUUUCCAUAAGUGUUGGACAUUGUACUCCUACUCUUAUCACCCACUCUACGUGUCCUGUAGGUGAUGCUAACUCCAAACUUACAGACAAAAAGAAGAAAGCAUAAAUAAAAUGAAAAGAUGCUAUCAAGGAAGGUAGAAGAGGAAGAACCCCUCCCCUCCAAAAUCCUGGUGGGAGAGAGCAGGAGAGGAGACUUUUCAUCCUCCAGAUAGGAUGGGGAGUUGAGUAGACAGAAGGAGAUUCUCGGCUGGCAAGAGCAGCUGCUUCCUAGCCGGUGCAGUGUUUUAAAGGCUGAGCCUGCAGGUCUGCUCCAGCUCUGUACAUGCAAGAGGGAGGGGAGGCAGCACAGGCUGCUCCAAUGGCUUUCCCUCUCAGCAGACUAGAGCAGUUCUGAUUGGCUGCUUUUCCCCAACUGGUGCGGGAAUUUGCAAGGGCAGCCAGUCAACGGGGGAUUCCCAUGCAAACGAUAGCAUUUUCGCCAUAGACCCAACAUGGACUCAGGAAACUUGGUAAAUUUGUUAAUUUCUUGAAACUAUUUCUGGUUGAAUAGAAUAUUUUCACUCAGGGAGGUAACUGAGAGCAGUUAUGGCUUCCAUGAGAUUGGAAAGUCACUGAACGUGUGAGCCACAUUUGCAAGGAGAUUUAGAGAAUGGAUAUUUUUAGAAUGAAAGCACAAAGAUCUCUUGGGUUUCCUGUUUCAUAUACAUUUCAGCAAGCCAUGUUGUCAUGAAAAGCAGAGAUAUGGCUAGUCCUUAUAUGUUUUCUUCAAGCUGUUGACCCCAUUAAACCUAUUAGCAUUAUUGCACAAACAAUACCCCCGAUAUAUAAAGACCAGUGAGACUGUUGUUAAGUGUAAAGAUUAUUGAUUAGAUUCUGCUCCCAUCUAAUAGAAGUAUUCUAGACUUACACCAGUGAACAGAAUUUGGCUUUAUAACAAUGGGGAAAAUACACUUCAUAUUUAAUUCAAAUCCUUCCAAACAUUAAACACGAAAAUGUGUACCAUGAAUCUGCAAUAUUAAAAAUAGAGCUAUUAAGAUCUUCUACUGAUUAUGCAGUUGUAAGAUCAUGAGACCUAAACAAAUGAACUCAUCUUUAUCCCAAAGUGUGUGUUUAAAGGACUUCUCACACACAAGAUAUGUUAACUAUAAACAAGAGUAACAUAAUUACAAGAGUCAAAAUAUCUCUCUCUGGCAUUUGGUCAAUAUCACCUUAAAUAUUCUGGUGUAUGUGUAGGAGUGGUAGGGAAGUGAGCCAAAUUUGCUACGAUUCACAUCCUUUCCUUACAUGUUUUUGAAUUGAUCAUCAUUCUUCUCCUGAAGCAGUUUCUCAAGUGGUCCCUCACUACAUGUGGAAGUUUUGACAUGUGGAAUGAUCUACUUGCAUCCCUUAGGGGAUGACAUCCAACCCAUUUGUUAGAUUAUUUUGCUAGGGUAUGACAUUCUGAACAGGGAAGUGAGCAUCACAUGUAGACAGGACUACAUCAGAAGCUGUACAUCUAUCUAGUAUAUCCAUGGUAUUUAUAUUAUACCAGUCAACCAUGUGCAUACUCUAGGAAUGGAAAAUAAAAGUGCCAGCUACUCAGCUGGUGUAAAUCAGCUUCAUUACGUUCUUUUGCAGUAUUUCUUGGAAUCUGAAGCUCCUAAUUGCUGUCCGCAGGCCCUUUGCAUAACCUGCUUGAUGUGAAGUGCACAUUCUGCCAAACAUUGUACCUUGCAACAAAAUAGCUCAAAUUCUACACUGGCUUCUUUUUUCGGUCUAUUUUUGCAAAAGCAGCUGCAGGGGCCUCAACUGAAACAGAAAUACAGAAAAGUCAAAACAUGCAGAUGAAAAAAUUAGAAAAUAUGGGUGUGUUGUAUGCUUUUGGGAAAAUGUAGAUGGUGUAUAAAAUUAUUCAGCCUUUUCAAUAUAAAAAAUUGCUCCGAGUCGUGUAUACCAAUCACAAAAGUGUAUCGUGGCCCUAAAACUGUAUUAGGAGGGAUCAUACACUAACAUAUGGGAGUACCCAUUAACCUUUGUUGUUCUAUCUCAAACUUAUAACCAUUUCUGAUGUAAUGGAUAUCUAGUUUUUAUCGGUCUAUAUUAUACUAUUAUA